AUUGAACGCUGGCGGCAUGCCUUACACAUGCAAGUCGAACGGCAGCACGGGUGCUUGCACCUGGUGGCGAGUGGCGAACGGGUGAGUAAUACAUCGGAACGUACCUUAUCGUGGGGGAUAACGCAGCGAAAGCUGUGCUAAUACCGCAUACGCCCUGAGGGGGAAAGCGGGGGAUCGCAAGACCUCGCGCGAUUAGAGCGGCCGAUGCCUGAUUAGCUUGUUGGUGGGGUAAAAGCCCACCAAGGCGACGAUCAGUAGCUGGUCUGAGAGGACGAUAAGCAACACUGGGACAGGGACAAGGCCCAGACUCCUACGGGAGGCAGCAGUGGGGAAUGUUGGACAAUGGGGGCAACCCUGAUCCAGCAAUGCCGCGUGAGUGAAGAAGGCCUUCGGGUUGUAAAGCUCUUUUGUCAGGGAAGAAACACCGGCUCUAACACAGUCUGGGAAUGACGGUACCUGAAGAAUAAGCACCGGCUAACUACGUGCCAGCAGCCGCCGUAA
Molecule: ribosomal RNA, 501 nt
Filed under: uncultured bacterium
Lineage: Bacteria
Description: partial 16S ribosomal RNA
Rfam family: Bacterial small subunit ribosomal RNA
Source: RNAcentral